UAGGGAAUCUUCGGCAAUGGACGAAAGUCUGACCGAGCAACGCCGCGUGAGUGAAGAAGGUUUUCGGAUCGUAAAACUCUGUUGUUAGAGAAGAACAAGGACGUUAGUAACUGAACGUCCCCUGACGGUAUCUAACCAGAAAGCCACGGCUAACUACGUGCCAGCAGCCGCGGUAAUACGUAGGUGGCAAGCGUUGUCCGGAUUUAUUGGGCGUAAAGCGAGCGCAGGCGGUUUCUUAAGUCUGAUGUGAAAGCCCCCGGCUCAACCGGGGAGGGUCAUUGGAAACUGGGAGACUUGAGUGCAGAAGGGGAGAGUGGAAUUCCAUGUGUAGCGGUGAAAUGCGUAGAUAUAUGGAGGAACACCAGUGGCGAAGGCGGCUCUCUGGUCUGUAACUGACGCUGAGGCUCGAGAGCGUGGGGAGCAAACAGG
This 429-nucleotide ribosomal RNA is filed under the name Gemmatimonadota bacterium. Its description in RNAcentral is "Gemmatimonadetes bacterium partial 16S ribosomal RNA". It matches the Rfam family "Bacterial small subunit ribosomal RNA", at positions 355 to 776 of the family's 1533-position model. The record is from RNAcentral. Lineage: Bacteria; Pseudomonadati; Gemmatimonadota.